AGAGUAUUCAUGAUUAGUUGUUCUAGAAACAUAUAUACUACAUGUGAUAUUUCUAGUAACAGUAGUCAGGACAACUGUUCUGAAGUAAAGCUUCCUUUUCACCGGUGCGGGUAACUCCUUAUUUUUGCCAGUUGGGUCUGCCUCGUGUGUGAAUGCAUGUAUUUAUUUUAGGUGCUCACCUGACAAGGUGGAGCUUUUUUACUUAGGUGGGAAUAAUUCUUUGGUGGCUUUCUUUUUUCUUGAGUUGCGAUGUAGACAAUGGACGGGUGAUGAGUCUAUGACUUGAGUGGAAUCAAUUGUAUUACCAUAGACAAAAAUAGAUGUGAGAGUGUACCUUAUUCUUGGCCAUGUAGUGGUUGGUACAGAAUUCCUUGGUGCCAGCAGUGGUAUUAGUUAGUUUCAAACAAAGACAAAGAGAUAACUCCAUUAAUAGUUCCUCUGUUAUAAGAUUAUGUUGGUCUUCCUUCUAUACGUGGGCAGUGAGGGCAUCUGUAGGUGUUUCUAUUGGUCAAUGUCCUUCUCCUGAAAUCCUUGCACGAGUGAUGCCUCCAAUUAUGGGGGUUGUUAACCUCUGUAAAAACAAUUUAAUUUGCAAUGUUUUCCUUGCAGGUUGUCAACACAUUGGGUUUGUCUGUAGAUUAUGAACGUAAUUGCAACUGGGGAAACCGGCCUCAUCAGUGUUGGUGUAGUGGCUAAAAAUUCAGGCUACGGCAUAAUCUUCUUGGCUGCCCACACCUUUGGAAAUUGCGUGAACGCUGAUAAAGCUGAACUUCGUACUCUGAAAGAAGGCAUCGGUCUUUCAGCUCCUAGUUUCACACACCAGUUAAUUUUGAGAGUGAUUGUGCAACUGUUGUACAUGCUGUGAAUGCCAAAGGAAUAGAUAUAUCUAAACUUCGUGGUUUAAUCAAUGAAAUUAAAGUCAAAGGAGAA
Long non-coding RNA from Lolium rigidum, 930 nucleotides. RefSeq lists it as uncharacterized. The transcript is spliced from 2 exons. The record is from RefSeq and is a predicted model, not a curated record. NCBI's taxonomy places the organism in Eukaryota, Viridiplantae, Streptophyta, Magnoliopsida, Poales, Poaceae.